This 164-nucleotide ribosomal RNA is filed under the name Ottochloa nodosa. RNAcentral's name for it is "5.8S ribosomal RNA". It matches the Rfam family "5.8S ribosomal RNA". Rfam says of the family: 5.8S ribosomal RNA (5.8S rRNA) is a component of the large subunit of the eukaryotic ribosome. Lineage: Eukaryota; Viridiplantae; Streptophyta; Magnoliopsida; Poales; Poaceae. The record is from RNAcentral.
CACACGACUCUCGGCAACGGAUAUCUCGGCUCUCGCAUCGAUGAAGAACGUAGCAAAAUGCGAUACCUGGUGUGAAUUGCAGAAUCCCGUGAACCAUCGAGUUUUUGAACGCAAGUUGCGCCCGAGGCCUUUUGGUCGAGGGCACGCCUGCCUGGGCGUCACGC